ACGUCGUCAAGCUCGGCGUCACCGCGCCCGCCAUCAGCGGUUUCACCCCCAAGCUCGAUUACUCCACCGGCAACAACACCGCCACCGUGGAGGUCAGCGGGAAGGUUGAUAAGGCGACGGUCACCCUCAAGGCGGACAUCGACAUCGAGGGCAAGAAGAGCAAGGGCGCCUCCGCCAAGGUGGCCUACCCGCUCCCCGAGGGUGUGAAGGCGACCGUGGAGGUCAAGGACGACAAGUCCGCCAAGGUUGAGCUCGCCAAGGACCAGUUCACCCUGGAGGUUCCCAUUGCUGACCUCACCGCGCCCUCGCUCUCCGCGGAUAACCUCACCCUCAAGGUGAAGUACUCCAUGGACUUCGACAUGUAAGUUUCAAGCCACAGUGUAUCCUCUUGAUGAACUUCGAGAGUGUUUCGACUUAUUCAUUGUAAGGUGUUAAGUUGGCUACGGACGCGUUAUGGAUUGGAUUAUUAU
RNAcentral lists this long non-coding RNA (470 nucleotides) under Micromonas commoda. RNAcentral describes it as "long non-coding RNA (MCOM_LNC000276)". The record is from RNAcentral. Lineage: Eukaryota; Viridiplantae; Chlorophyta; Mamiellophyceae; Mamiellales; Mamiellaceae.